GGGGCGUGGCGCCAGUGGGCGUGGCGUAGUGCGAAGAGACGCGGUGCGCACGCGCGUGAGGGAUGUCGCGGAUGCAAAUAGUACGGUAUUCCGAACAGACACUAAAAAUAGCUGUCAUCUCAAAGAAUCCAGUGCUUGUGUCACAGUAUGAGAAAGUAGAUGCUGGGGAACAGCGUUUAAUGAAUGAAGCAUUCCAGCCAGCCAGUGAUCUCUUUGGACCUUGCAUUCUCCAUCAGAUUGGAUCACCUCCCACCCUGAGGCCCCCCAAGACUUUGAACAGUUCUUCAGUCAUCCUUACAGAAAGAUACCCUCUCCAGACAAACGCAGUAUUUAUAUACGGUCCAUUGGAUCUCUAUGAAGCACCAGAAUUAUCAGUGAAGAAUAUAUUAAAUGGCUCACGGGCUACUGUAAAGCAUAUUUCUAUCGCUUGAGAGUAAAACUGCUAGAACCAGUUCCUGUUUCUACAACAAGGUGUUCCUUUAGAGUCAAUGAGAACACACAAAACCUACAAAUUCAUGCAGGGGACAUCCUGAAGUUCUUGAAAAAGAAGAAACCUGAAGAUGCCUUCUGUGUUGUGGGAAUAACAAUGAUUGAUCUUUACCCAAGAGACUUGUGGAAUUUUGUCUUUGGACAGGCCUCUUUGACAGAUGGCACUGGUGAGGUGGAUUGAUGAUGAAUCUUCUGGCACACCUGGAGCAACUCCAGAACACAGUCGUGAGGAUAAUGGGAAUUUACUGAAACCCGUGGAAGGAAGCCUUUAAGGAAUGGAAAGAGUGGAUAAUAAAAUGCCUGACUGUUCUCCAAAAAUAAGGACCUUCAAAUAGGAGUGAUUGAAAUAAAUGACUACUUGCAUGUUAUGCUUUCAUUUGGGUGGAAUACUUCAUCAGAAUAAACUAUUGAUCUUGUGCUGUGUCAAAGUAACAGACUAGAACCUUCUUUCAAGUACCUGAAUUGAAAUGAAACUCAUUUUGAAUAAUAAAAACUCUAGAAACUCUUUAUCUUCUCA
Homo sapiens (human) is the source of this 1006-nucleotide long non-coding RNA. Ensembl annotates it as AMZ2 pseudogene 1. Its record names the gene AMZ2P1. Lineage: Eukaryota; Metazoa; Chordata; Mammalia; Primates; Hominidae. The record is from Ensembl.